GGCUCUGUGGCGCAAUGGAUAGCGCAUUGGACUUCUAGGCUGUAAGCUGAGCCAUUCAAAGGUUGUGGGUUCAAGUCCCACCAGAGUCG
This is a non-coding RNA of Danio rerio (zebrafish), 89 nucleotides long. Lineage: Eukaryota; Metazoa; Chordata; Actinopteri; Cypriniformes; Danionidae. The record is from Rfam.